This 101-nucleotide ribosomal RNA is filed under the name uncultured bacterium. RNAcentral describes it as "partial 16S ribosomal RNA". It matches the Rfam family "Bacterial small subunit ribosomal RNA", at positions 1384 to 1482 of the family's 1533-position model. The record is from RNAcentral.
CACACACCGCCCGUCAAGCCAUGGGAGUCGGUUGGUCCCGAAGUGCGUGAGCUAACCCGCAAGGGAGGCAGCGUCCUAAGGAAUGGCCGGUGACUGGGGUG